AAAAAUUUAGUUAAAUCAUAACAUCAAUUUGUCAAAUUGAAAUUAAUAUAAUUAUUAAUUUUUU
Molecule: transfer RNA, 64 nt
Filed under: Anaspidinae sp. GENSP01
Lineage: Eukaryota; Metazoa; Arthropoda; Insecta; Coleoptera; Scraptiidae
Description: tRNA-Asp
Source: RNAcentral